Molecule: ribosomal RNA, 952 nt
Filed under: Escherichia coli
Lineage: Bacteria; Pseudomonadati; Pseudomonadota; Gammaproteobacteria; Enterobacterales; Enterobacteriaceae
Description: partial 23S ribosomal RNA
Rfam family: Bacterial large subunit ribosomal RNA
Source: RNAcentral
GGUUAAGCGACUAAGCGUACACGGUGGAUGCCCUGGCAGUCAGAGGCGAUGAAGGACGUGCUAAUCUGCGAUAAGCGUCGGUAAGGUGAUAUGAACCGUUAUAACCGGCGAUUUCCGAAUGGGGAAACCCAGUGUGAUUCGUCACACUAUCAUUAACUGAAUCCAUAGGUUAAUGAGGCGAACCGGGGGAACUGAAACAUCUAAGUACCCCGAGGAAAAGAAAUCAACCGAGAUUCCCCCAGUAGCGGCGAGCGAACGGGGAGCAGCCCAGAGCCUGAAUCAGUGUGUGUGUUAGUGGAAGCGUCUGGAAAGGCGCGCGAUACAGGGUGACAGCCCCGUACACAAAAAUGCACAUGCUGUGAGCUCGAUGAGUAGGGCGGGACACGUGGUAUCCUGUCUGAAUAUGGGGGGACCAUCCUCCAAGGCUAAAUACUCCUGACUGACCGAUAGUGAACCAGUACCGUGAGGGAAAGGCGAAAAGAACCCCGGCGAGGGGAGUGAAAAAGAACCUGAAACCGUGUACGUACAAGCAGUGGGAGCACGCUUAGGCGUGUGACUGCGUACCUUUUGUAUAAUGGGUCAGCGACUUAUAUUCUGUAGCAAGGUUAACCGAAUAGGGGAGCCGAAGGGAAACCGAGUCUUAACUGGGCGUUAAGUUGCAGGGUAUAGACCCGAAACCCGGUGAUCUAGCCAUGGGCAGGUUGAAGGUUGGGUAACACUAACUGGAGGACCGAACCGACUAAUGUUGAAAAAUUAGCGGAUGACUUGUGGCUGGGGGUGAAAGGCCAAUCAAACCGGGAGAUAGCUGGUUCUCCCCGAAAGCUAUUUAGGUAGCGCCUCGUGAAUUCAUCUCCGGGGGUAGAGCACUGUUUCGGCAAGGGGGUCAUCCCGACUUACCAACCCGAUGCAAACUGCGAAUACCGGAGAAUGUUAUCACGGGAGACACACGGCG